GGUAAAAUGGCUGAGAUUAGGCGAUAAAUUGUAAAUUUAUUUAGGAAACAUACUUUCUUUUACCA
RNAcentral lists this transfer RNA (65 nucleotides) under Homoeoxipha nigripes. RNAcentral describes it as "tRNA-Tyr". The record is from RNAcentral. Lineage: Eukaryota; Metazoa; Arthropoda; Insecta; Orthoptera; Trigonidiidae.